UACGAAGGGUGCAAGCGUUACUCGGAAUUACUGGGCGUAAAGCGUGCGUAGGUGGUUGUUUAAGUCUGUUGUGAAAGCCCUGGGCUCAACCUGGGAAUUGCAGUGGAUACUGGGCGACUAGAGUGUGGUAGAGGGUAGUGGAAUUCCCGGUGUAGCAGUGAAAUGCGUAGAGAUCGGGAGGAACAUCCAUGGCGAAGGCAGCUACCUGGACCAACACUGACACUGAGGCACGAAAGCGUGGGGGGCAAACAGG
This 253-nucleotide ribosomal RNA is filed under the name uncultured bacterium. Its description in RNAcentral is "partial 16S ribosomal RNA". It matches the Rfam family "Bacterial small subunit ribosomal RNA", at positions 524 to 776 of the family's 1533-position model. The record is from RNAcentral.